UACGUAGGGUCCGAGCGUUGUCCGGAGUUACUGGGCGUAAAGAGCGCGCAGGCGGUCGGAUAAGUCGAAUGUGAAAGCCCCCGGCUCAACUGGGGAGGGUCAUUCGAUACUGUUCGACUCGAAGGCAGGAGAGGGAAGUGGAAUUCCCGGUGUAGUGGUGAAAUGCGUAGAGAUCGGGAAGAACAUCGGUGGCGAAAGCGCUCUACUGGACCACAACUGACACUCAGGGACGAAAGCUAGGGGAGCGAAUGGG
Molecule: ribosomal RNA, 253 nt
Filed under: uncultured bacterium
Lineage: Bacteria
Description: partial 16S ribosomal RNA
Rfam family: Bacterial small subunit ribosomal RNA
Source: RNAcentral